AGUGAAGCGGCAACAGCUCAAAUUUGAAAUCUGGCGGCCUCUGGGCCGUCCGAGUUGUAAUUUGAAGAGGAUGCUUUUGGCGAGGCGCCUUCCGAGUGCCCUGGAACGGGACGCCACAGAGGGUGAGAGCCCCGUAUGGUUGGACGCCGAGCCUCUGUAAAGCUCCUUCGACGAGUCGAGUAGUUUGGGAAUGCUGCUCAAAAUGGGAGGUAAACCCCUUCUAAAGCUAAAUACUGGCCAGAGACCGAUAGCGCACAAGUAGAGUGAUCGAAAGAUGAAAAGCACUUUGAAAAGAGAGUUAAAUAGCACGUGAAAUUGUUGAAAGGGAAGCGCUUGCGACCAGACUUGUGCCCGUCGAAUCAGCCGCCGCUCGCCGGCGGCGCACUUCGGCGGGCUCAGGCCAGCAUCAGUUCGCUGCAGGGGGAGAAAGGCGGCGGGAAUGUGGCUCUUCGGAGUGUUAUAGCCCGCCGCGCAAUACCCCUCGGCGGACUGAGGACCGCGCAUCUGCAAGGAUGCUGGCGUAAUGGUCGUCAGCGACCCGUCUUGAAACACGGACCAAGGAGUCGUCCUAAUAUGCGAGUGUUCGGGUGUAAAACCCCUGCGCGUAAUGAAAGUGAACGGAGGUGAGAGCUUCGGCGCAUCAUCGACCGAUCCUGAUGUUCUCGGAUGGAUUUGAGUAAGAGCAUAUUGGGCCGGACCCGAAAGAAGGUGAACUAUGCCUGUAUAGGGUAAAGCCAGAGGAAACUCUGGUGGAGGCUCGCAGCGGUUCUGACGUGCAAAUCGAUCGUCAAAUAUGGGCAU
This 801-nucleotide ribosomal RNA is filed under the name Scedosporium apiospermum. Its description in RNAcentral is "eukaryotic LSU rRNA". It matches the Rfam family "Eukaryotic large subunit ribosomal RNA", at positions 92 to 918 of the family's 3401-position model. Lineage: Eukaryota; Fungi; Ascomycota; Sordariomycetes; Microascales; Microascaceae. The record is from RNAcentral.